This is a long non-coding RNA of Zingiber officinale, 1120 nucleotides long. RefSeq lists it as uncharacterized. Lineage: Eukaryota; Viridiplantae; Streptophyta; Magnoliopsida; Zingiberales; Zingiberaceae. The record is from RefSeq and is a predicted model, not a curated record. The transcript is spliced from 4 exons.
CCUAAGUUUAUAACCUUUUGUUUCUUUUCUCACACGUGCCCUAGCCAUUCUCACCGCCGAACCCAUCUCCCUUCUCCCCUCUCGCGCGAAGCCGAGCCACAACCGCCCCAACCCAACGCCGACGGUCUCUUCAUCUUCCCAACCGGCGCCGCCCUCCCGACGCCUCGCUUCCUCUCCCGACUCUUCUUCCUCAAUCUGACGCCUCCCUUCCUCUCAUCCGCCUCGAUCUGUGUCGACUCCCCCUACACAUCGCUCAACACCGACGCCACUGCCACCACCCUCUCUGACCACCGUCUUCCUCCUUUAAGUGGACACUCAAGGCUUACAAGAGCCCUAGAUCUGAUCACUGUGUGCCGCCGUCCUUGUCGCCACCUUGUGCCCUAGAUUGGGUCUCUCACCACUGCACCUCUGCACGGGUUGAUCUUCGGUCGAGAGCAAGGUUCCAAGCCCUACCUCUUUUUUGGUAGGUGUUGGUACUAUCGAGCCUUAGCCUCGUAAUUCUUUUGAUCUCGUCUUCUCCUCACCACUGUUGCCAGCAGCUAGCCGUCGACAGCCAGUCCCGAUCAAUGUCACAGUAAACCACCGGAAAGGAAAGAGGUCAGCGACUGAUUUGGGGAGUGAUCGUUCCGGCAGUAGGAUUGUGGUAGCUCAGGGCACAGAGCUCCGGUAGCAGGCACCUUCAAUUAGCAUUUUCUAGCAGUCACUCUCUAACCAUGGUCAACAGGGAAGUCUCCGACUUGGGACUGUGAUUGAGACAGUUGUCGUGACAGGGCGUCAUUUGGUUCAGACUACAUAUUAAAGACGGGUUGAAGUUGUCAGGAGGUUCCAGUUAGUAGUCCCCUUGUCACAAGAGUUUACAUAUUAGUCUUUUGGUAUUUUGUUUAUUUGCUUAGAGUUGUGUUUCAGACUUGUAUUGGUUUUGCACCCUGGAUUUUGUAUGAUUUUUCUUAAGGCAUUGUAAUGGUUGGUCUUUUGCUUGAUUGGUGGGUUUCUAUUUGAUAUGUUUUGCUACUCGCCUGUCGGACGACAGAAGAUGUGAGUUUGGAUGUUGUUUUCGAUUUCUUUUCGUAUUGUGAUGACAACCAGAGGCUGAUAUAUUAUAACUACGUGGAUUGUUUCA